GGAAGGCAGUGACCACGUAUGGACCCUCCGCCUGUGGACGGUGGUGGCCGCUCCUCCAAGUGUCCCCUUUCCCUAAACACGUUCAGCACAGGAGCCCUUGGGGACAGCCCAGAUCCACAGUGUCCGCUAUGGACACAUCCCAACAGGGUUGAGAGGCAUCUUCCUUCCUCAUGACAUGCGGACCGCUGUGGGAACUGAAGCUCAUAAGCAGCUUGCCUGUGUUUGUUCAGGUGAAGGAACUGAUUUCAACCUCAUAAGAACUGAAGAAUUUUUUCUUCAAGUCAGUGCAUGGAUUUGUCCUACACAUGUUUAUUCAGCACCUAGAGUGUGUCAGCGUGAUGCUCAGUCUCGGGGUCACAGUCCUGGAGAUCCAGGUGAUUGGUAUCCUCCAAGCUGUAAGUGCGCUGCAGGAGACAGUGGAAAACUUGUGAUUAUGUUAACAGCUUUGAUUGGUGUCGCCCAGACCUGGGCCUGCAACAUCUGUCCAGUCUUCUGCUUCCUGGGUUUGCUUUGCUGCUGUGGAUUUGCUCCUUCCUUUUCAACAUCAGGAUCAAUGGCAUGAAUGAUAACACACCCUAGUCCCCUGAGACGGAGUUUGACAUCAGUGGGACAGAGAGCCACACUGCGGGGUGUGUGGCCAGCUGUGGAGCGGGCCUUCCUCCUCUCAGCUUGGUGAAGGUUUCCUGCUUUGAUUUUGAUGGGGAACUUGAUUCUGAGGUCCUGGGAGACUUUUCACUGUUCACAUUUCAGAGGUCACAGGCCCUGGGUCUGAGCCUUACUUUUUACUGGUACUGGAAUGAUAGGGAAAGUGCGGAAGUUGGAAGAGCUGAUAUGAAAUGGUGAUCCAAGUAGAACCGCAUGCAGUGAGAAGACAGGAUUGGGUGAGGUCUUUGCAGGUUGCUUUUCUAAAGAAUAGCAACAAGAUGGCAUCUGAAGACUCUGGGACUAUUUUAAGCCAAAGUACUCUUUCUAGAAGGUGGACCUGUUUUAAUAACAGAAAAGCAUGAUUUAUUUUGCAAAAUCAUAUUCAAAAAUUUGGGAAAAUUCCAAGAAAUAAGAAGGUGAAAACAGGAAGCAUCUUCAAUGCUAUCAAUUAGAGAUGA
This 1103-nucleotide long non-coding RNA is filed under the name Marmota monax (woodchuck). The record is from RNAcentral. Lineage: Eukaryota; Metazoa; Chordata; Mammalia; Rodentia; Sciuridae.